This 561-nucleotide ribosomal RNA is filed under the name uncultured bacterium. RNAcentral describes it as "bacterial SSU rRNA". It matches the Rfam family "Bacterial small subunit ribosomal RNA", at positions 338 to 916 of the family's 1533-position model. The record is from RNAcentral.
CCUACGGGAGGCAGCAGUGGGGAAUAUUGGACAAUGGGCGAAAGCCUGAUCCAGCAAUGCCGCGUGAGUGAUGAAGGCCUUCGGGUCGUAAAGCUCUUUUACCAGGGAUGAUAAUGACAGUACCUGGAGAAUAAGCUCCGGCUAACUCCGUGCCAGCAGCCGCGGUAAUACGGAGGGAGCUAGCGUUGUUCGGAAUUACUGGGCGUAAAGAGUACGUAGGCGGUUAUUCAAGUCAGAGGUGAAGGCCCGGGGCUCAACCCCGGAACUGCCUUUGAAACUAGAUAACUAGAGUCUUGGAGAGGUUAGUGGAAUUCCGAGUGUAGAGGUGAAAUUCGUAGAUAUUCGGAAGAACACCAGUGGCGAAGGCGACUAACUGGACAAGUACUGACGCUGAGGUACGAAAGCGUGGGGAGCAAACAGGAUUAGAUACCCUGGUAGUCCACGCCGUAAACGAUGAUAACUAGUUGUUCGGUCACUUGGUGACUGAGUGACGCAGCUAACGCAUUAAGUUAUCCGCCUGGGGAGUACGGUCGCAAGAUUAAAACUCAAAGGAAUUGACGG